This is a long non-coding RNA of Zalophus californianus (California sea lion), 1023 nucleotides long. RefSeq lists it as uncharacterized. The transcript is spliced from 4 exons. The record is from RefSeq and is a predicted model, not a curated record. Lineage: Eukaryota; Metazoa; Chordata; Mammalia; Carnivora; Otariidae.
UUCCUCCGAAAAGGAGGUUUUUUUUCACAAGUCAAUCAAAAUUAAUUUUGUAAGCCUCUCGGACUUGACUGAAGACAUCCCACGAUGUCACUAAAACCGAGGUUAGGAAGGCCAAUUCUACCAAAGUGACGGAACCCCCCUCUUGGGGACCGGUUUACCUGGGAAGCAGGCGGCCCUCCUCAUGCUCACAGCCCUAUCCUGUGGGCAGGGCCCAGUGGGAGGGCCUGGGGUUCAAAGCCAGCCCACCAGGUGUUCCACCACGAAGGAUGGGGCUGGGCGUGUAACAGGCAGGCACAGGUGCUCACCGAGCCCCCCGAGUUGCAGACAAAGCAAACUACGCAAGCAUUUCUUCAAACUCCCACCAGAGCAAGGGUGCAGAGGAAGAGCGGAUGACACGCCAGUGACUGCCCUGAAGUCACAGCCCCCAGUGUCAUCACCAGCUGGCUGUGCAAGGUGUCCAAGGGACCACCACUGAGGGUCAUCCUAGGACUUCGUCAAAACCAUGUUUGUGGAUGCCAGAAGAGGUCAUGAAUUCUCAGAGGCACAGAAGGAGAAUGCUCCACAACUGUGACAUGAUGUCAUUUCUAAAUGGGAGACAGACACAGAAAACACGGAGGGAACAGAGCCACACGACCAUGGAGGGUAGGAGGCGGACGCUGUAGUGACGUAUCUACAAACCAAGGGACACCUGGAUCUCAGCCACCACCGGAAGCGGAAGAAGCAGGGAAGGAGUCUUCCCGAGGGCCGUCAGGGAGCACGGCCCUGCUGACGCUUUGACUUCAGACUUCUGGCCCCUGGAACCGUAAGAGAACAAGUUCCUCCUGUUUUAAGCCACCCGAUUUGUGGUCGUUUGUCACAGCAGGCCUGGGACACUAACUGUUGAAACCUGUCUUCAGGUGACGUGAUUUAUCCCCGUUCCCGUAUUUGGACAAAGAAAUGAAAUUGGAUGGUAUGAUCAAAACCAUCUGAAUCUUCUGCGGUGGGUGGCAUCCUUGCUUAUGAGAAUCCCCUGCAAUCGGCGGC